AGGAGUUGCUCUGCCUUGCUUGCUUGACCGCCGGCUAGGUGGGGAGGAGAAACAAGUUCUCGGGUCUCCUGGCUUUGGCCUGCUUGCCAUGUGGGUGGGUGGGCUGAGGUUGGGUGAGCCUUGCGGCCUGAGCCUGUCUGCUCGGUGCUGAUCACGCCAUGUCCGGCCUGGUCGGAGCCCUCGGCUCUCCAGGCUCGCUGGCGGCCCAAGGUGGGAUGUGGAUCAUGCCUUGUCCCACCUUGGGUUUGAGUGUGCACCUGCCCCCCCCAGUGGAGGGUUGUGAAAUGGAAAGGUGAUGGAUAGAGUUUCUUAACUGUGGUGCUUGGUGAGGUAGGAGGAUGGCUGGCUGGCUGGCUGACUGGCUGGCUGGCUGGCUGGCCUUCUGCCUCCCCUUUGCUCCCAAACAAAGAAAAUAUCAACACCGUACAGUGGAUCACUUGGCUCGGGGGUCGAUGAAGAACGCAGCUAGCUGCGAGUCGGAAUGUGAACUGCAGGACAUAUGGAGCAUCGACACUUUGAACGCACAUUGCGGACAUGGGCUUGUCCCCUGUCCAUGUCUGGCUCAGGGUCGGCUUUACAUCCAUCCAGCUUGAUUGCUGGCCUUGGGGUCUGUCUCCUCAGCUAUGAUGCUGAGGAGUCCCCCGAAGAUGUGCCGCCUGCCUAGCCGGAGGUGAGCUCCUUGCUGACUCUUGGGUGUGACUUUGCGUCUGCCUGGGUUGGCGAACAAAAAGGGGGCUUGCUUCUGGUGGUGGGCUUGCGGGAGGGGGGGUUUCUGGUUCCCCCACCCGAACUGGGUGGUGAUGGGCAUACGGACGGACGGACGGAUGGACAUACAGUUGGUUGGCCUUCUGGCUGGCUGGCUGGGUGGCUGACUGUCUGGCUGGCUGGCCCCUUUGCCACCUUGCUUUUU
Molecule: ribosomal RNA, 910 nt
Filed under: Sinergasilus undulatus
Lineage: Eukaryota; Metazoa; Arthropoda; Copepoda; Poecilostomatoida; Ergasilidae
Description: eukaryotic LSU rRNA
Rfam family: 5.8S ribosomal RNA (bases 418-571)
Source: RNAcentral